RNAcentral lists this ribosomal RNA (490 nucleotides) under uncultured bacterium. RNAcentral describes it as "partial 16S ribosomal RNA". It matches the Rfam family "Bacterial small subunit ribosomal RNA", at positions 28 to 507 of the family's 1533-position model. The record is from RNAcentral.
AUUGAACGCUGGCGGCAUGCCUUACACAUGCAAGUCGAACGGCAUCGCGGGAAAGCUUGCUUUCCUGGCGGCGAGUGGCGAACGGGUGAGUCACACAUCGGAACGUGCCGGCUAGUGGGGGAUAACCCGUCGAAAGACGGGCUAAUACCGCAUACGCUCUUCGGAGGAAAGCAGGGGACCUUUGGGCCUUGUUCUAGUCGCGCGGCCGAUGUCCGAUUCGCUAGUUGGUGGGGUAAAGGCUUACCAAGGCGACGAUCGGUAGCGGGUCUGAGAGGACGAUCCGCCACACUGGGACUGAGACACGGCCCAGACUCCUACGGGAGGCAGCAGUGGGGAAUCUUGGACAAUGGGGGCAACCCUGAUCCAGCAAUGCCGCGUGGGUGAAGAAGGCCUUCGGGUUGUAAAGCCCUGUCGGCAGGGAAGAAAUCGGCGGGGCGAAUAACCCUGCUGGAUGACGGUACCUGCAGAAGAAGCACCGGCUAACUACGUG